Molecule: transfer RNA, 85 nt
Filed under: Felis catus (domestic cat)
Lineage: Eukaryota; Metazoa; Chordata; Mammalia; Carnivora; Felidae
Also listed under: 1 other name
Rfam family: tRNA
About the family: Transfer RNA (tRNA) molecules are approximately 80 nucleotides in length.
Source: Rfam by way of RNAcentral
ACCUGGGUGGCUCAGUCAGUUGAGUGUCUGACUUCAGCUCAGGUCAUGAUCUCAUGGCUCGUAGGUUCGAGCCCUGCAUCAGGCU